CCUACGGGAGGCAGCAGUGAGGAAUAUUGGUCAAUGGGCGCGAGCCUGAACCAGCCAAGUAGCGUGAAGGAUGACUGCCCUACGGGUUGUAAACUUCUUUUAUCAAGGAAUAAAGUGAGGCACGUGUGCCUUUUUGUAUGUACUUUAUGAAUAAAGAUCGGCUAACUCCGUGCCAGCAGCCGCGGUAAUACGGAGGAUUCGAGCGUUAUCCGGAUUUAUAUGGUUGAUAGGGAGCGUAGAUGGGUUGUUAAGUCAGUUGUGAAAGUUUGCGGCUCAACCGUAAAAUUGCAAUUUAUACUGGCAGUCGUGAGUACAGUUGAGGUAGGCGGAAUUCGUGGUGUAGCGGUGAAAUGCUUAGAUAUCACGAAGAACUCCGAUUGCGAAGGCAGCUUACUAAACUGCCACUGACAUUGAUGCUCGAAAGUGUGGGUAUCAAACAGGAUUAGAUACCCUAGUAGUC
Molecule: ribosomal RNA, 460 nt
Filed under: uncultured bacterium
Lineage: Bacteria
Description: partial 16S ribosomal RNA
Rfam family: Bacterial small subunit ribosomal RNA
Source: RNAcentral